RNAcentral lists this ribosomal RNA (1311 nucleotides) under uncultured archaeon. RNAcentral's name for it is "bacterial SSU rRNA". It matches the Rfam family "Archaeal small subunit ribosomal RNA", at positions 21 to 1337 of the family's 1478-position model. The record is from RNAcentral.
AGGCUACUGCUAUUGGAAUUCGACUAAGCCAUGCGAGUCAAGGUGUCUUCGGACGCCGGCAAACGGCUCAGUAACACGUAGGUAAUCUACCCUCAGGACUGAGAUAACCCCGGGAAACUGGGGCUAAUACCAGAUAGAUAAAAGAUACUGGAAUGUUCUUUUAUCCAAAGCUUUUGUGCCUGAGGAUGAGCCUGCGCCCGACUAGGUAGUUGGUGGGGUAAUGGCCCACCAAGCCUGCGAUCGGUACGGGCAGUGGGAGCUGUAGCCCGGAGUUGGGGACUGAGACAAGGCCCCAGGCCCUACGGGGCGCAGCAGGCGCGAAACCUCUGCAAUGCGGGAAACCGUGACAGGGGGAUUCCAAGUGCUCAUGCAUUGCAUGGGCUGUUCUUUGGUCUAAGUAACCAGAGGAGUAAGGGCUGGGCAAGACCGGUGCCAGCCGCCGCGGUAAUACCGGCAGCUCGAGUGGUAGCCGCGAUUAUUGGGCCUAAAACGUUCGUAGCCGGAUAAGUAAGUCUUUGGUUAAAUCCUACGACUUAACCGUGGGAAAUCUAGAGAUACUGCUUGUCUUGAGACCGGGAGAGGUUGGAGGUACUCCCAGGGUAGGGGUGAAAUCCUGUAAUCCUGGGGGGACCACCUGUGGCGAAGGCGUCUCACCAGAACGGACCUGACGGCAAGGGACGAGAGCUAGGGGCACGAACCGGAUUAGAUACCCGGGUAGUCCUAGCCGUAAACGAUACUCGCUAGGUGUCGGCCACGGUGCGACCGUUGUCGGUGCCGUAGGGAAGCCGUGAAGCGAGCCACCUGGGAAGUACGGCCGCAAGGCUGAAACUUAAAGGAAUUGGCGGGGGAGCACCACAACGGGUGGAGCUUGCGGUUUAAUUGGAUUCAACGCCGGAAAUCUUACCGGGACCGACAGCAACAUGAAGGCCAGGCUGAAGACUUUGCCGGAUNNNNNGAGAGGUGGUGCAUGGCCGUCGUCAGUUCGUACUGUGAAGCAUCCUGUUAAGUCAGGCANNNAGCGAGACCCACGCCCACAGUUGCCAGCGUACUCUCCGGAGUGACGGGUACACUGUGGGGACCGCCGCUGCUAAAGCGGAGGAAGGAAUGGGCAACGGUAGGUCAGUAUGCCCCGAAUAUCCCGGGCUACACGCGAGCUACAAUGGUUGGUACAAUGGGUAUCUACCCCGAAAGGGGAUGGAAAUCUCCUAAAGCCAAUCUUAGUUCGGAUUGAGGGCUGCAACUCGCCCUCAUGAAGCUGGAAUCCGUAGUAAUCGCGUUUCAACAGAACGCGGUGAAUACGUCCCUGCUCCU